RNAcentral lists this unclassified non-coding RNA (329 nucleotides) under soil metagenome. RNAcentral's name for it is "partial contains 5.8S ribosomal RNA, internal transcribed spacer 2, and large subunit ribosomal RNA". The stretch from base 1 to 120 matches the Rfam family "5.8S ribosomal RNA", at positions 35 to 154 of the family's 154-position model. The record is from RNAcentral.
GAUGAAGAACGCAGCGAAAUGCGAUAAGUAGUGUGAAUUGCAGAAUUCAGUGAAUCAUCGAAUCUUUGAACGCACAUUGCGCCCCUUGGUAUCCCGAGGGGCAUGCCUGUUCGAGCGUCAUUUCACCACUCAAGCCUGGCUUGGUGUUGGGCGACGUCCUCUUUGGGGACGCGCCUCGAAACGCUCGGCGGCGUGGCACCGGCUUUAAGCGUAGCAGAAUCUUUCGCUUUGGAAGUCGGGGCCCCGUCUGCCGGAAGACCUGCUCGCAAGGUUGACCUCGGAUCAGGCAGGGAUACCCGCUGAACUUAAGCAUAUCAAUAAGCGGAGGG